GGGUAUUUAGCUCAGUGGCAUGGGCACCUGCCUUGCAAGCAGGCGGUUGUGAGUUCGAUCCCUAGUACCCA
Molecule: transfer RNA, 71 nt
Organism: Cavia porcellus (domestic guinea pig)
Lineage: Eukaryota; Metazoa; Chordata; Mammalia; Rodentia; Caviidae
Rfam family: tRNA
About the family: Transfer RNA (tRNA) molecules are approximately 80 nucleotides in length. Their secondary structure includes four short double-helical elements and three loops (D, anti-codon, and T loops).
Source: Rfam